This 62-nucleotide small nuclear RNA is filed under the name Dasypus novemcinctus (nine-banded armadillo). RNAcentral's name for it is "U7 small nuclear RNA (ENSDNOG00000048555.1)". It matches the Rfam family "U7 small nuclear RNA". Rfam says of the family: Animal histone pre-mRNAs are spliced by a different mechanism than nuclear pre-mRNAs and self-splicing introns. This processing involves the U7 snRNP, which contains only one RNA species: U7. The record is from RNAcentral. Lineage: Eukaryota; Metazoa; Chordata; Mammalia; Cingulata; Dasypodidae.
AAGUGUUAUAGCUCUUUUAGAAUUUGUCUAGUAGGUCUUCUGACUUUUGUUGGAAGGCCCUC